CUUCGUCGAUCUGCUGCGGGCUGAUGAAGUGAAUAUGCGUGUCGAUGCCGCCCGCCGUCACGAUCAUCCCUUCGCCCGCGAUCACUUCCGUCGCCGCGCCGAUCGCGAUCGUCACGCCCGGUUGAAUGUCGGGAUUGCCCGCUUUGCCGAUGGCAGCGAUGCGGCCGUUCUUGAUGCCGAUGUCGGCUUUGACGAUGCCCCAGUGAUCGAGAAUCAGCGCAUUCGUCACGACGGUAUCGACCACGUCGGCCGCGACGCGCUGAGACUGGCCCAUGCCGUCGCGAAU
Molecule: small RNA, 286 nt
Rfam family: 5' ureB small RNA
Source: Rfam